UACCAGCACCCCCGAGUGGUCGGGACGAUUAUUGGGCCUAAAGCAUCCGUAGCCGGCCUUACAAGUCCUCCGUUAAAUCCAGCUGCUUAACAGAUGGGCUGCGGAGGAUACUAUAAGACUAGGAGGCAGGAGAGGCAAGCGGUACUCAGUGGGUAGGGGUAAAAUCCGUUGAUCCAUUGAAGACCACCAGUGGCGAAGGCGGCUUGCCAGAAUGCGCUCGACGGUGAGGGAUGAAAGCUGGGGGAGCAAACCGG
Molecule: ribosomal RNA, 254 nt
Filed under: uncultured bacterium
Lineage: Bacteria
Description: partial 16S ribosomal RNA
Rfam family: Archaeal small subunit ribosomal RNA
Source: RNAcentral